Molecule: ribosomal RNA, 452 nt
Filed under: uncultured bacterium
Lineage: Bacteria
Description: bacterial SSU rRNA
Rfam family: Bacterial small subunit ribosomal RNA
Source: RNAcentral
AUGGCUCAGGAUGAACGCUGGCGGUAUGCCUAACACAUGCAAGUCGGUACGAGUAGUUUUUAACUCUAGUGGCGGACGGGUGAGUAACACGUGAGAAUUUGCCUUUAGGAGGGGGAUAACAAUUGGAAACGAAUGCUAAUACCCCAUAUGCUUUUUGAGUGAAAUGGAUUUUAUCCGCCUAGAGAGAAGCUCGCGGCUGAUUAGCUUGUUGGUAAGGUAAGAGCUUACCAAGGCGACGAUCAGUAUCUGGUUUGAGAGGACGAUCAGACACACUGGAACUGAGACACGGUCCAGACUCCUACGGGAGGCAGCAGUGGGGAAUUUUCCGCAAUGGGCGAAAGCCUGACGGAGCAAUACCGCGUGAGGGAAGAAUGCCUAUGGGUUGUAAACCUUCUUUUCAGGGAGGAAUAAAAUGACGUGUACCUGAAGAAUAAGCAUCGGCUAACUCCGUG